Molecule: non-coding RNA, 24 nt
Filed under: Arabidopsis thaliana (thale cress)
Lineage: Eukaryota; Viridiplantae; Streptophyta; Magnoliopsida; Brassicales; Brassicaceae
Source: RNAcentral
UACGACUGGUUGAUCAGCGGGUAC